This 993-nucleotide unclassified non-coding RNA is filed under the name Hevea brasiliensis (rubber tree). The record is from RNAcentral. Lineage: Eukaryota; Viridiplantae; Streptophyta; Magnoliopsida; Malpighiales; Euphorbiaceae.
UCAUAAACUAAAAAAAAAAAAAAAGAACAAGAAUCCAAGCUCUGGACAAAGACUUGUUUGCCAAUGGAGACCGUGAGAACCCAAACUUCUCCAUGUCGAUGAUUCAACGACACAUUUUAGAUCAAUAAUGACUAAAGUUUUUGAGGCAGAACUUGGGACAAAAGCACAUUGAAAUAAUACCUGAAGCUGAAAGCAAGAAAUCAACAUGAUAUAUGAGUAUGCACUUACUGAACAGAGCCACAAAGAAAAAUCAAGUGGAUUUGUGAGCACCGAACCAAGUGGGUCCAAGAAUAAGAAAAAGAGGCAAGCAGAGAGAUAUGAGUGAGAGGCUGAGAAUGGUGAGAUGUGCGAUGCAUCGAUGCAUCAAGGAUAGGCAGAGAGGCGCAUGCAGAGAGAUGCGAACGGAGGGGAGUAGUAUGAGAAUGAGACCAUCCAUUUCUGGAAAUUAAUUUCUGGAAAUGUGGGAGUAAUUUAAAAAAAAUAAGAAGUAAAUGACAUUGAAAUUUUAUGAGAUCCUUGUUCUGGCAAACUCAAAUGGUGUUGGGUUGUGGGGUAGAAUGGCUAGAAAGGAAGGGAGAAAACUUAUCUAUCUCAUGAUGCAUUGGGUUGUGGGUUUGUAGUAGGGCAGAGUGGAAAGAGGUUUGUGGUGUUGGGUUCAAUGAUCUGUGGCAAAAGGGAAUGGGUUUCAAAGUGUUAAAUAAGGGAUGGCAAGGUUGCGCUAGAGAGAGAGAGAGAAGGGAGUGAUCAUGCUUUUGAUUGGGCAAAGUUUAAACUCUUAAGGUAGUGAAUUCAAGAUGUACUGCCUGGGAGCUUAUUUCAGCCUCUAUAAAGACCUUUUCAGAGGACAAACUUGACCAGGAGCAACCUUUGUACAUCCUUCAGGGGGAUUCAUGUAAGCCUCUUCAUAACAAGCCAUAGAGAAAGGCAUUGUUUUUAUCAAGCUAAAACAAUGGCCAACUUUUAGCAGUUGCCAACGCAAGAAGCACUCUAACU